CGUGAGACAGGUGCUGCAUGGGCUGUCGUCAGCUCGUGUCGUGAGAUGUUGGGUUAAGUCCCGCAACGAGCGCAACCCUUGUCUUUAAUUGCCAUCAUUCAGUUGGGCACUUUAAAGAGACUGUCGGUGUUAAACCGGAGGAAGGUGGGGAUGACGUCAAGUCCUCAUGGCCUUUAUGCCCAGGGCUACACACGUGCUACAAUGGGUGGUACAAAGAGCAGCAAGCUCGCGAGAGCAAGCGAAUCUCAAAAAGCCAUCCUCAGUUCGGAUUGAAGUCUGCAACUCGACUUCAUGAAGUCGGAAUCGCUAGUAAUCGCGGAUCAGCAUGCCGCGGUCGAAUACGUUCCCGGGCCUU
RNAcentral lists this ribosomal RNA (355 nucleotides) under uncultured Syntrophus sp. RNAcentral's name for it is "bacterial SSU rRNA". It matches the Rfam family "Bacterial small subunit ribosomal RNA", at positions 1028 to 1382 of the family's 1533-position model. Lineage: Bacteria; Pseudomonadati; Thermodesulfobacteriota; Syntrophia; Syntrophales; Syntrophaceae. The record is from RNAcentral.